Non-coding RNA from Podarcis lilfordi (Lilford's wall lizard), 67 nucleotides. Lineage: Eukaryota; Metazoa; Chordata; Lepidosauria; Squamata; Lacertidae. The record is from the annotation of a GenBank genome assembly.
GUGCCCAGUUGGUUAGAGUGUGGGUCUGAUAAUGCCUAGGUUGUGGGUUUGAUCCCCGCAUGGGACA